UUACCCCUUGCUUGGAGUUCAAGUCAACAUUUUGGACUCUGGAAUAGCAAUCGGUGUCUUCAUCUCUCACAAGCUCAUCGAUGGAAGAACGGCAUACUGUUUUCUCAAGUCCUGGGGUGCUGUUUUUCGAGGGUGUCGUGAAGAUGUCAUACAUCCUAGUCUCUCUGAAGCAGCAUUGCUUUUCCCACCGAGAGAUGACUUGCCUGAAAAGUAUGCCGGUCAGAUGGAAGGGUUAUGGUUUGCCGGAAAGAAUGUUGCUACAAGGAGAUUUGUAUUUGGUGCGAAAGUCAUAUCUUCAAUUCAAGAUGAAGCGAAGAGCGAGUCCGUGCCCAAGCCAUCACGAGUUCAGGCCGUCACUGGUUUUCUCUGGAAACAUCUAAUCGCUGCUUCUCGGGCACUAACAUCAGGUAAAAUCAGUUUAUCAACAAGCCAAAUAAUAAAGCCUAAUGUAUUUGGGGUACUUAUUUAUAUAUUUUUAUUACGUAUAUCUAGUGUACUGUGUACAUAGCUCAAAGAAUGAGAAAAUAUAUGAACUUGCAGGUACUACUUCAACAAAACUUUCUAUAGCAGCCCAGGCAGUGAACAUAAGAUCACGGAUGAACAUGGAGACGGUGUUGGAUAAUGCCACUGGAAACUUGAUGUGGUGGGCACCGGCCAUACUACAGCCAAGUCAUACAACACCAGAGAUUAGUGAUCUUAAGCUGUGUGACUUGGUUAACUUGCUCAAUGGAUCUGUCAAACAAUGUAACGGUGAUUACUUUGAGACUUUCAAGGGUAAAGAGGGAUAUGGAAGAAUGUGUGAGUAUCUAGAUUUUCAGAGGACUAUGAGUUCUAUGGAACCAGCACCAGAGAUUUAUUUAUUCUCGAGCUGGACUAAUUUUUUCAAUGCACUUGAUUUUGGAUGGGGGAGGACAUCAUGGAUUGGAGUUACGGGAAAAAUUGAAUCUGCAUUUUGCAAUUCCACAAUGUUGGUUCCAACACAAUGCGAUAAUGGAAUUGAAGCAUGGGUGAAUCUAGAAGAAGAGAAAAUGGCUAUGCUAGAACAAGAUCCCCAGUUUCUAGCGGUAGCAUCUCCAAACCCCCCAAUUUCAAGGUGUUGAUUAAAAAAGAUUAUGUGGCUCGUGCAAUGUUUCGAUUUUGUAGUGAAUAAGGUUUAAAUUAGUUCACCAGCCAAUCAAUAAGAUGCAAGUAUGAUAGACUCUGUCUACGUAUGUUAUCCGAAUGUGUUUUCGAUAUGCUUGUAACCAAUAUAGCUCUUGUUUGUAAUAAUGCUCUGUUAAGCUUCUAUCUAUAAAGUUAUUUCUCUUGAUUAAAGAAAAAACUAUACAAGUUUUGUUAAGCUUUAUUCUAUUUUUAAGAUAGGAUGUAUGUAGUACCUAUAAAGAUGGUUCACCUAUUAUUAUUUUCAAAUACAUGAUUAUCCGGUACAAUUACGUAGAAUAUUUCUAUAGCUAAAAAAAUGUAAUUUUGAUCCGUGACAACAUGAUUAAAAAAUUACAUAUUCUGAUACAUUUGUUCUCUAACGACAAGCAUGGCCAUAAUGCCUCACCUGAUCAUCUAUGUGAUGGGGUAGUGUCCUUUCUUUUUAAGAGAAGGUAGGCACCUAAUGUGAAGGCCUCUACGAGAGACUAAUAUUGUCUGAUCUUCUUUUGUUCAUCAAAUUAAAGAAACGAAAAUGGCCACAAUGCCUCACUAUUGAUAGAAGAUAGAACCAUACAAUAAUUUGGAACAUAUGCAUGGAGACAAGGAAAUAUAACACAAUAAAACCAUUAUAAUUUCACUUUAUGUGGGAAACUUGGCCAAAACCGAAUCACAUCCACGUUGGCAACAAAAAGUGACUGGAAAAAAAGAGCCCCCAAAAAGCUAAAACACUAUAAAAACCAGAAAACUUGAAUAAGCGAAAAACCAAAAGUAUGACAUUUACACACACACUCUAUCUCUCUCUCAAAGUCUGAAAACUUGCGCAAUAAGGUACCUAGCUCUCUGGUCUUUUCUUUCUAAUGCAUAUAAGUCCCUGUAAAUUUUAUGGCUUUUGGAAUGAUGAUUUUAUGCUUGUGGAUCUCAGAUGGGUUUGUUUUGUUUUGGGAUUUUUAUAAAUGAAUCCAUUGAAAAUGUUGAAAGCUUAUGCCUUUGUUCCUUGGUUCACUGUUCUGGUUUUGUAAAUUGUGUGUACGAGAGUUGAAAUGUUGGUUUUGGUAAAGAGAAAUGUUCUAUAACCAUGUAAGUUAUCUUCUAAAGUUGUUCGAGUACUGCAUAGGAAAUAACGACCUAAACUGCUAGAUGCUCUGAGAAACUUAAUUAUCCGAUUCGUUGUGAUAAAUUAAUAGAACCAUCAAUAGCCGUGAUAGUCCCUUAAUAUUUGGUGGCUAAUUAGCAAUGCAUUCAUGGUAGUUGCAUGUGCUUAUUUUGUGCAGUAUUCUAAUUCUAUCACUUGCAAAAUCGUUGUGGAAGGUCAAGAGGAGAAAACUGAAAAUGGGGCAGCAUGCAUCUCAUUUUAUUUUUUUAUGCAAUAGAGCCCUAUAUAUAAAAUAAAUAAUGUAUCUAUAACCUUCUCUAAUUAAUUUACUUAGUAAUUGACGCAAUUUGGCCGAACUGUUUCUAAACACACUAAGCUUCAGUUCUAUAUAUACCACGUACCACAUGUAUGAAUUCAUCAAGUGUCUGAUAAUACUAAACCUACUUCGACAAAAUGGAGAAAAUUGAGGUCAGUAUAAUUUCCAAACACACCAUCAAACCAUCAGCUUCCACUCCACGACUUCAGCCUUACAAGCUUACCCUCCUGGACCAGCUCACUCCUGCAAUGUAUGUCCCCAUGGUAUUCUUCUACCCCAUUACUGAUCCUGUCUUCAAUCUUCCUCAAACCCUAGCUGACUUAAGACAAGCCCUUUCCGAGACUCUCACUUUGUACUAUCCACUCUCUGGAAGGGUAAAAAACAACCUAUACAUCGAUGAUUUUGAAGAGGGUGUCCCAUACCUUGAGGCUCGAGUGAAUUGUGACAUAACUGAUUUCCUAAUGCUUCGGAAAAUCGAGUGCCUAAAUGAGUUUGUUCCAAUAAAAACAUUUAGUAUGGAAGCAAUAUCUGAUGAGCGUUACCCUUUGCUUGGAGUUCAAGUCAACAUUUUCGACUCUGGAAUAGCAAUCGGUGUCUCCGGCUCUCACAAGCUCAUUGAUGGAAGAACGGCAGACUGUUUUCUCAAGUCCUGGGGUGCUGUUUUUCGAGGGUGUCGUGAAGAUAUCAUACAUCCUUGUCUCUCUGAAGCAGCAUUGCUUUUCCCACCGAGAGAUGACCUGCCUGAAAAGUAUAUAGCUUUGAUGGAAGGGUUACGGUUUGCCGGAAAAAAAGUUUCUACGAGGAGAUUCGUAUUUGAUGCGAAAACCAUAUCUGCAAUUCAAGAUGAAGCGAAGAGCGAGUCCGUGCCCAAGCCAUCACGAGUUCAGGCCGUCACUGGUUUUCUCUGGAAACAUCUAAUCGUUGCUUCUCGGGCACUAACAUCAGGUAAAAUUAGUUUAUCAACAAGCCAAAUAAUAAAGCCUAAUGUAUUUGGGGUACUUAUUUAUAUAUUUUUAUUACGUAUAGCUAGUGUACUGUGUACAUAGCUCAAAGAAUGAGAAAAUAUAUGAACUUGCAGGUACUACUUCAACAAAACUUUCUAUAGCAGCCCAGGCAGUGAACAUAAGAUCACGGAUGAACAUGGAGACGGUGUUGGAUAAUGCCACUGGAAACUUGAUGUGGUGGGCACCGGCCAUACUAGAGCUAAGUCAUACAACACCAGAGAUUAGUGAUCUUAAGCUGUGUGACUUGGUUAACUUGCUCAAUGGAUCUGUCAAACAAUGUAACGAUGAUUACUUUGAGACUUUCAAGGGUAAAGAGGGAUAUGAAAGCAUGUGUGAGUAUCUAGAUUUUCAGAGGAUUAUGAGUUCUAUAGAACCAACACCAGAGAUUUAUACAUUCUCGAGCUGGACCAGUUUUUUCAACCAACUUGAUUUUGGAUGGGGGAGGUCAUCUUGGAUUGGAGUUACAGGAAAAAUUGAAUCUGCAUAUUGCAAUUCCACAGUGUUGGUUCCAACACAAUGCGAUACUGGAAUUGAAGCGUGGGUAAGUCUAGAAGAAGAGAAAAUGGCUACGCUAAAACAAGAUCCCCAGUUUCUAGCGGCAGCAUCUCCAAACCCCCCAGUUUCAAGGUGUUGAUUAAAAAAGAUUAUGUGGCUCGUGCAAUGUUUCUAUUUUGCAGUGAAUAAGGUUUAAAUUAGUUCACCCGUCGAUCAAUAAGAUGCAAGUAUGAUAGAUAUGUUAUUCGAAUGUGUUUCGAUAUGGUUGUAACCAAUUAAUAUAGCUCUUGUUUGUAACAAUGCUCUAUUAAGCUUCUAUCUAUAAAGUUAUUUCUCUAUUAAAAAAAAAACUAUGGAAGUGUUACCAAGCUUUGUUCUGUUUCAAAGGUAAGAUGCAUAUACUACCCGAAAAUAAUGUUCACCUAUCAUAAUUCUUCCACAUGAAAACCCGGUAAGAAUCACAUAAAAUAUUUCUAAUACUUUAGAAUCUAAUUUGGGUUUGUGACAACAUAAUUGAAGAGGUACAUAUUCUGAUACAUUCGUUAUUUAACGACAAGCAUGUACAUAAUACCUAACCUAGGAGGAGGGUGUACGUAGUGUUCUCUCUCCUUAAGAAGGCCUGCCUUUCGCGAAGGCCUCUUUCAAAGGACUGAUAUAAUAUAAUCUUCUUCUUUUUUUAAUCAAAAGAAACGAAAAUGGCUUCAUUGUUCAUAAUUUGGAAUAUAUGGUGGAUUGUACGGUGUUGUUUUGAGGGAGCUUCUCUCUCGGGUCAAGGGUUUCCAAUGGAUUUGUGCAAUGAGAUUUGAUUGGCAACAGUUAUUCGGGCAUCAACGCUCCAAUUUAGCACUCCUCAGUCCUCACUACCUCAUUGUUGUUGACGAUGGCGAUGACGACAUUAGCGAGCAUGGGUGAUGUGUGUGGCAUAUUUGUUUGUAUUGUUGCAUUAUUGCUUUCGGAUGUAAGGGCUUCGCCCUAUAGAUUAGCGAGCAAUUGGUCUCCUCUCAUUCUUUCUACCUUGAUCGAGUUGGAGAUCCAUGCACUUUAUUUGUAGUACUUUUUUUGGCCUCGCGUUUGCAAGCUUUGAAAUUCCCGUGAUUAAGGAAUUAUUCAUUUUUUACAAAAAAAAAGAAGAAGAUUUUUUCCUGAAAAAUAACACAACAACCAUCAUAAUUUCACUUUAUGUGGGAAAUUUAGCCAAAUCCGAAUCACAUCCACGUCGGCAACAGAGAGUGACUUGAAAGAAGUGCACCCAGAAAGCUAAAAAACCAUAAAAACUAGAAAACUUGAAUAAGGAAAAACUAAAGUAUGACAUUCCAAUCUAUUGUUUUAUGGUUUUUGAAGGAUUCAAAUUUGUCAACCACUUUUUACUUGACCACCUUAAUGACCACUAUCUAGAUUGGUGAUACGUGUCUUUUCAAAUUAUUUUACUUUAUUGUUUUAUUGUUGAUAAAAAAAAUAAACAUGUGUCACCAAUCUAAAUAGUGGUCAUUGAGAUGAUCAAGUAAAAGUGGUUGACAAAUUUGAAUCCAUUUCUUAUUGCGGUUUUGUUCUGCCAAAUCCAAAUCCCAUGACCCAAUCAUUUACACUCCCUCUCAAUCUCUGCAAAACUGACUGCUUCCCUUGAAAACGUGCGCAAUAAGGUACCUAGCUCUCUGCCCUUUUCCUUGUAAUGCAUUCAAGUCCCUGUAAAUUUUGUGGUUUUUGGUAAUGAUUUUAUGCUUGUGGAUCUCAAAUGGGUUUGGGUUUGUUUUGUUUUGGGAUUUUUAUAAAUGAAUGCAUUGGAAAUGUUAAAGCUUAUGCGUUUGUUCCAUGAUUCAGUGUUCUGCAAUUUGUGCCUUCUCUUCCGGAUCUGAUGUACGUGAUGUUCUAGCUAGUUGUCUUUUGGAUUGAAAAGAUAUUAUCUUUUGAUUGUUUUUGAUAGAACAUCAACAUCAAUCAUCAAUGAGAUGAAUCUGAAGUAGGUUAUUAGUUUGGAGAUAUGUUAAUGGUUAAUGAAUCAAGCUGAAGUUGUUCUGGUUAUUGGAGCAAUAGGUUCCAUACUGAAGCAUCUAAUUUUGAAUUUGCAAAGAGUGGUUGACGAGUUAUCCUUGGGAUUGGCGGGUGACAUUGAAAAAGUCUUGGUUUUGUGUAUAAGAGUUGAAAUGUGAUUUCUUUACUGUUACCAUGAUGUGGGUUCUACUAAAAGACUCGUUCUUGAAUCUGGGGUCAUGUCCUGUGAUGACUCAAUUCUUGCAAAACACAACUGAGAUGUGUCAAAAUGGGUUCGGGAGCGUCUUUAUAUAUCGAAGUAUCAUGAGUUUCGAUACUAAGUGAGGGUGCUGGAUAGAAUUGAGUUUGGAGGUUCAAUGCUUCAAAAACAAAGAAGCUAGAGGGAACGUAAUUCUUGAUGAUUCAAGACGGAUCAAUGACCUUGUAAUUAAGUUGCUUAUGUGCAAUUGUUGAGCUUAUGGUGUUUCCAGUUUGGAUACGGAUAGCUAUUUCUGUUUUCAGUAUAACCACCAUGUGUUGCAUCCUCUUACUCUUCAUCUUCAUUUACCUAUCUUUGAUCUGAUGUUCCAUUGGCAGAGCUCCCUUAUGCUAAACUGUAAAACCUGCAUUCCAGGUGGUCAUUCUGUUAGAACUUUGGAAGGUCUCGGAAAGGAAACACUCGUCGACAAAUUUUGGGAGCAGUUGCAUAAAAGGAAUGGUCUCCCAACUCGGAGAUAAUGGAGACGCGUACUGGAAAUUCCCGUCCCAAUAAAAAGCAAUCGUCGGAGAAGUCUAAAUCUGCCACUGAAGAGAAAAGGCCUGCAGAAAAGAAGCAAACACUUCUGUGUUUGUCAACUAUGGUAAGUUCAUUAGAUAGUAAGUACUGAGUUUUCUAACAUCGGUGUAACACCAUGCAACUAACUCAGUACUGUAGAAUAGACAUCUAUGUUAGUCUCUUUAGAUAAUAUGCACACUUUAACUUUUCAAAUGACGUCCUGCAUUAGUUAGUCAACUGUUCAAAAUCUCGUAGGUUACAAUUUUCCCAUCUCCAAAACCAAGUGUCCAUAAUCUUUUUCCCUCUUUGUUCACUAAACUAGUAAACUCCUCGUUUAGAUUAAUGUUCUAAAUCUUUUAGUUUUUGUUCCAUCUUGACAUAACUUGUGGCUCAUUACCUACGUUGCAUGGAAUCGGAAGCGGAAACGUGGAAGCGAAGCGUUUGGAAGCGCGGAAGCGAUUUUUUUGAAAAUAAUUUGGAAGCGAAAGCGUUUUAGAAAUGUGAGAAUCAAAAUAAUAUAUACAAAUAACAAAUAUAUAUCACCUAAUUUUAAUUUCAUUCAUUUAUUUUAAUCGUUAAUUUUAAUAAGUUGUACAAAUUAGUUUGAUUGUUUAGCAGAUAACAACUCAUUCUUAAAAAAAAAAGAUAUCACUAAACCUUAUAAAAAUAAACUUCUUCACUAAAAAAAAGUCCACCAUGAAAUAUUGAAAGCACACGUCUCUCUAAUCUCUACACCUUUUAAUCUUCUUUCUUCACCUCUCUAUGCUCUCUCACCCUCCAGGUUGCCGUCAUCUUCUUUAACUUCAUUCUCUCUCACUCCUCUCCCUCCCUCCAGUUUCAAAUCCUUUCUUAACAGGUCCUCAAGCAGAAGAUCUGAUUGAUUAUAGAUUUCGAAAGAGAUAGAGAGAAGAUUGAUGUGCCGCUGAAUCAGUUCUCGUGCAGUGGACCAUCGCGCUUCCAAAUCAAAAUCGUGAGCUUCCAUAUUGGAAGCAUGCGCUUCCGUCGUGCUUCCAAAACCCUCUUUUCCCGGAAUCACGAUUCCGGGCGCUUCCGAGCGCUUCCACGGCGUUUCCGCUUCGCUUCCGCUUCGGAAGCGGGCGAGUGGCCCGGCGCUUCCGUGCUUCCUAGCUCAUUACUGCCCUGUAAACCAACUACGGCCGAGUUGUACCAAAAGGAAAUUCGGCCUCUCAUCAAUGAGUAAAGGUUUUUUUUUUUUUUUUCUUCCUUUUGUGGGGGAAGAAGAAGUAUGCAAUAAUUUUGGAAGUAACAUAUCCCCUAUCACCAUUCCUUGCAACAAGCAAUUACUUCUGGCAUUUUGUGGUUGAUGUUGAUCAUUUUGUAACUUUUGUUCUUUCAUGAUAAUAAAGCUAAUUUCUCAUGUAGCUGCAAUUGCUUGGCAUGAGAGUAGAAGAAAGUGGAUAGGGGAUCAGCGGCUGCAAAGAAUGGCCAAGGAUCCAAUUAUAAGGUAUUUUUUCCUCACAAAGGUUCCUGGAUAGAAUGGGGUUAGCAAGUCAUGGUUAAAGAGUUGCACCUUAAAGUUUAAUAACAAAAGAAAAGUUGGAGAGCAUAACUGCCAUAACUUAUAUUCUUUGUAGGUACAAAUGAACUCAUUAACACUGGUGUGUCAGUUUUUAGGAAAUUACACUUAUAUUUGAGUAUCUGUCACUCUGUCCACUACUUGCACCCUGACUUGCUGAUCUGUAAAUCCUAGAUUUUUCAAAAUUGCUCCUUUAGUCCUUUUGUUUGGUGUGUGUCCAUAUUAGUAGCUUUGUCCAUUUAUGCUGUUAAAUUGUAGCUGCUAUAUGAAUGUCAGGAAGUUAAAUGUGAAAACUAUAUGCUGCAUAUUAUAGCACCAUUGUAAUGAUUGAUGAUAUUAGUGUCUUUGUCCAAUUAUUUUCUGUUCAAUUAUUGCUACUUCUUGAAGAUAAUGUGGAAAGUUUAUGUUUCAGCUGGUCAACAGCCUAUGAGGAUCUACUCUCAACCAAUGAGUGUUUUUCUGAGCCGAUCCCCUUAACUGUAAGUCGAUCAUAUAAUAGCACAUACCUGUCCAAUAAAUAUCUUCUGAUAAGUCAUAUAUCUCUAUUACUUGUGUUUAUUUGACAUUGGAAAUAUUUUCUAAAGUUUGAUGUUUUUAUAAAAUUGGUUUUAAGCAUGUUUUCAUACUGGAGCUCCACUUUAUGUUUUCAAAAGUCAUGGGUAGUUUUCUUGAGCAGCGAGGACGAAAACUCAUCCCUACAACAGUUUGUGGAUGCAUGUAUUGUGCACUGGGACAAGAUAAUGGCGAGGAGUUGGGUGUGCAUGUUUGUGAUCGGUAAUUUAUUUUCUAUGCUUACAUGUUUAUUUUUAGACUCAAGUUACAUGUUUAAAUUGUAUUCUGUUGGCCUUGUUAUAAUCUCAUCCGUGAUUCUAUUAAUGAAGCUUGUUAAUUACUGGCCAUUCCUUAUAUCAAGUUUUAUACGAACAUAAGAGUCUAAUCCUGAUAUGAUUUUGUCUUGUGAGACUCUCAUUGCAAUUUGUAUUCUUUUGAGUUCAUUAUUUCUUAACGUUUAUUGUGUUAGGUUUUAGACGAAUGACUUUACCUUAAGCAAAUUAAAUAUUUUUCUUUUACAUACACCUCAAAUAGUUUUACGCUUCCGUGGUGUUUGCUUAAAUGAUUUCUUAAAUAAACUGUCUUGCGUUUCUCUUGGUUUUUAUUUUAGAGACAUGCGGCACUGUGACGUGUCUAAACUAAGGAGGCGUAGUUUGGGGCGUUACAGAUUUAAUCUUUACACACUAUGAGAAUAUCAAAAUAUCACGAUAUUUGUGCAAAACUCACGAAAUCUUGUUAUUAAAUCAGCCGAAGUCAUCAUAUAUAGUCAUUAACUCGGGCCAAACUUAUAAAAUUAACACUAAAGUCUUGGCGCAGCUAACAUGAUUUGAACCCAGGUUGCCACAUGUUUGUAACAUCCUGAAAUUUCAAAUUUUUAUUUUUAAAAGGAAAGUUAUUUUUAUUUCGAUUUCUAUUAUUCUUUUAAAUUCUUUAUAGUUUUUGAAAAUUAUUCAAAUUUUGUUUUUGGAGCCCAUCGGAUUAAACUAGAGGCCGUGAUGAAUUUGUGGGAUUUUUCGGAACACCGUUUGGAUAUCGGAUAUAUUUUUAAUGAUUUUUAGAAGUUGGUAUUAUCUAAAAAUUUAAUUAAAAAUAGAAAAUCAAGGUCGGUCAAAUUUGGUCCGUCCAGAUUAUAUGGGUAUGGAUCAACUUGGACUUCAUUAUACCCAGUCCCAGACCGACUCCGUCUCCAGCCUCUAUCAGCGACGGAGACCUCCGGUCACUCCUCCGUUGUCCGGCCGUCUCCCGCCGCAAAACGACUGUCUACAGCUCUGUCUCGACGUCCCCGACCUCCCUGGGAUUCCAGCUUGAUGAGUGGAGCUCCGGAAAAGGAGGAGAGAAGGCGACUGUGUUUCCGAUCGGGUUUCCGAUUCCGGUGACGGCGGCGAGCGUGAAUGGUACUGGAAGCAUCCUCUCGUCCUCGUGGUCUUCCCUAUGUCCUCAGUUUCUUCAGAAGAGGUCGGGAGAGAGAGAUUCGAAGUGGAGAAGGAGAGGCUGGGUUCGCCGGCGAGUUUCCGAUUCCGGCCAAGUCGAGGUUUCUCACUGGUAUGAAUAGCUUCAUGUCGGUCUCGGGAACCUUUCCAUGUUGGUGGUUUUCGAAGAGAAGCUCGGAGGAGGGAGAAUCGAAGAGGAGAAGUUUCUGAAUUUUCCGGCGAGGGUUCGACGGAUUCCGGUGAAGCUUGAUGUCGACUCAGGUAUUAAAGUUGGUCUAUUCGAUGAGCUUUACAUGUUUCUAUAAUUGAAAUUGAGAUUGGUUGGGUGUUGGAGAAGUGGGAUUUUGGACAGGUUGUCGACCACCGUGUACGGCGGCGGCGGCGGUUGUUCUUGUAGUUUCUGGCUUUUGUUAAUACAUUGAUUGUGGAGGAGUGUUUUGAGAUGUAUUAGAAUUGCAGGAACAUGAGAAUUGUAUGAAGUUGGGUUUUGAGCAGUGUGGUGUGUGGCCACUGUUCACGGCGGCUAUGGUGGUGUUUUGAAAUCAGAAGACUUGUGUGAGGGAGAGGUUGAAGAUGUGUAUUAUGUUUGGUAUGAGUGUUCAUUCAAUUGGCUUUGGUAUUUGAGAGCAGGGUGCUACGAAUAUCUUGGUUUUGUGAUCAAAGUUGAAGUAAAGCAUAUAUGUUUGUAUGGUUGUGAGAUAUGGUGGUAACUGCAGCAAUGGAUAGUUGAUCAAGGUUCACAUGAUCUUGGAACAAAUGUCCAGUCGAUAACUUUAAGAUGUAAUUGGUAUUGCUAUGCUUGAACAAUUGUGUUUCGGUGGAUUGAAGAUUUGCCGGAAGGUGUGUAGUAAGAUGGGUGUCCAAAGUAAUUGAUGGAGACUGGUGUGUUCUCUUUUGAAUUAUUGUUAGAGAAAGAUGAUUAGAGGAGUUGGGUGUAAUGAACGUUAAGUUGGCUUUGCUGGGUUGUUGUGGAGUCUUAAGAGCAGUAUGGGUACGGGAACAGAAGAAUUGGAUUUUCAUUACUUUCAUAUGGAUUUGAUGUGUUGCUGGGGAGUAGGAAACAGUAAAGGAUUUAGGUUUGGUCAUGUCUGGGUUCGUUGAUAAGUUGUUAUGCCUACAAUUAAGACAUGAGAAGAUUGAUCAAGUUUGAGAUAGGCAAAUAUAAAGGAUUUAGUAGAAAAGAGGAAUUGGGUGUAGAGAGUAAAUUCGGUGCUUAGCUUGGUGCUUGGAGCAUGGUUGGGAUACGACUAAUUAUGGGUGGCGUGUGAUUUGGUAAUUGUCGGAAAAGGUGAGCGGAAUUGGAAAUAAAGAUUUUGAUCGUUUCUAAUUAAAGUGUUUGCCGACUUUAUUGGAACAAGGAUUUGAUGUGAGGGAGCAUGUUGCAAUCCGAGGAGCAGAAUGAUAAGGAUUUCAAAAUGCGUGCCGCGGUGUUAUUAAUUUUAGUAAGCGUCGGAGUCAAGGCUUGGAUUCCAGGUAGGGUCUCUCUCAGGGAACUUUUCUUUAAAUUGAUAAUUAGGUUAUUGUUGAAAUCGGUGCAUUGUGUGGCAUUGGUUGAUAUAACUCUUGGUUGUUAUCGAUUUUGUUAAAAGCAUGUGAUAUCGUUGAUUUAUAUGAAAUUAAUGUUAUUGCUUUCCGUAAAAGCAUGAGUUGAAUGUUAUGAUAUGAGUAUUGAUAUUCAAUUGACAUGCAUAAUGCAUUGUGAGGAAUUGUGAGAAGUGAGAUUGGUGAUUCUGGAGAUGAGAAAGAGAUUGAUAGAAUAGAUACAUUUUGUGUAGUUGAGUUUCCUCAUGGGUUGUCCAAGAUCCAGGGUAGUCCACACGUGCAUAAGUUCAGGGAAUGUAUGCCAUUUCGAUGGCGGACAUCGACAAAACAAUUUUAUCGGGUUUCGGGUUUGGAGACCAUGAGUAUAACAAGAUGAUUAACAAUAGAGGUACAAGCCAUAAGAUAUUACUGAUUAUUAGAUCAUAUAUUUGAGACAUUUGUGUCACCCCCGGUUGGUAAAAUACACGGUAUGGGACGUGUAGGCUCACAUAUCUUUGAUGUAUGGACUGAUAGCCAGUAAUUGAGGAAGACAUUCAUUAGCAUACAUGUAUCAAAUUGUCGUUAUUUAUUUAAAGUAUUAUUUGAUGUUUGAUAACUUGUUUGUGCGAUGUAGUUAAUUAUAACUUAAAAAGGUUUGGCUCUUUGGCCCUACUAAGCGUAAGCUCACCCCUAUAAACUUUUGUUCAGGUACGUUUGAGGACACGUUUUUCUAGAAGCGUAACUGUGAAGUUUAGCUGACGUGUACGAGAGUAGAAGAGUUACAGAAGAUUAGAAGUCAGAUAGAUCGUAAGGGCUUAUCUUUUUGUCUUUGUAAUUGUUUUUUGUUAUUGUAAACGUUUUAUUUUCUUUUAUUUCUGGAAAAGUAUUUGAAAUUGUUUUAUUUUCUUUUACUUUUCCCGCUCAUGUCUCGGGUACGGCGUCAGGUGCUUGGAAACCACCGACACCGGGUCCGGGGUUUGAUGUAUGGACUAGCCAGUAAUUGAGGAAGACAUUCAUUAGCAUACAUGUAUCAAAUUGUCGUUAUUUAUUUAAAGUAUUAUUUGAUGUUUGAUCACUUGUUUGUGCGAUGUAGUUAAGUAUAACCUAAAAAGGUUUGGCUCUACUGAGUGUAAGCUCAUCCCUAUAGAUUUUUGUUUAGGUACGUUUGAGGAUACGUAUUUCUAGAAGCGUAACUGUGAAGUUUAGCUGACGUGUACGAGAGUAAAAGAGUUACGGAAGAUUAGAAGUCAGAUAGAUUGUAAGGGCUCAUCUUUUUGUCUUUGUAAUUGUUUUUUGUUAUUGUAAACGUUUUAUUUUCUUUUAUUUCUGGAAAAGUAUUUGAAAUUGUUUUAUUUUCUUUUAUUUUUUCCGCUCACGUCUUGGGUACGGCAUCAGGUGCUUGGAAAUCACCGACACCGGAUCCGGGGUGUGACAAUGGUAUAUCUCACAUUCUCAACCAAUCCUCCUAAGGUGAUACUUGAUUACUACAUUGAACAUUUUAUUAUAAACUCUACAUAUAUUUUCAUACUUUUAAAAUUUCUUUUCGAAAUUUUAUUAAUAUUGAUAUUUUCUAAUAUUUUUAUCAAAAUAUCUAUUUUUCAGAUAGUCAAAAUUUUCUUGAAACGUGAUAUUUUUGUAAUAUAUCGAAAUUUCAAAUUUUUAUUUUUAAAAGAAAAAUUAUUUCCGAGCUAUUUUUAUUUCGAUUUCUAUUAUUUCUUUCAAUUCUUUGUAGCUUUCGAAAAUUAUUUCAAUUUUUAGUUUGUCAAAAUUUAUCUUUUGAGUCCAUAGGAUUAACGGAAGCGUUUUCGGACAUCGGAGCUAUUUUUAAUAAUUUUUAGAAGUUAAUAUCGUCUAAAAAAAAAAUAUUUUUAAACCCGCUUGAUCUGGACCGUUGGAUCAUUUAAACCGCAAGAUCUGGGCUGGGGGAGACUGGAUCAGAUCAGUUCAGACCCAGACUGGGUCAGCCUCGAUCCAAAUAGCAGCGACGGGUGACCGGACUGCCGCUUUGUCCUCCAGCGACGGCGUGGGGAAAUCAUGGCAGCUUCGGCUUCGUCUCGGUCGCCUGAUCCUAUCUGUGGUCUCGAUUUCGUCGAUGGAGCUUCGAUGAGAGAGAAUCGAAGAAGGGUAGCUUUUUCUGGGUUUGUCGACGAGUUUACUAUUUCAGCCACGGCGGCGAGCAUGAUCGGUCUUGGUAGCUUCACCUCGACCUGUUGAACAUUUCUUUGAAGAGAAGGUCGGAGGAGGGAGAAUCGAAGAGAAGAAGUUUUUAGGUUUUAGGCAGUGUUCUUGGUGUUUUCCGGCGACCUCGGACUUCAAUUCAGGUAUCAAAGUUGGUCGACUCGUCAAGCCCUACAUCUCUAUAUAAUUGGUUUUCAUUUUUGAUUAAGUUUUGAAGAAUCGAAGUUUUGGGGUUUUACUGUGCAAUUUGAGUUUUCCUGUUUGUGUGGUGAUUUUGGUUGCCUUGGGGCGUUCUUCGAUUGGAAUUGACUUUAUGAAGUUGAUUUGAUGAUCUUAAGCCCUUGAAUUACAUAAUUGGAAAAGUUGGGUUUUGGGGCAGUGUUGUUCGGCGAUGGAAGUGGUGGUUGAUGGUUCUGGGUUUGGUUUAUGUUUUAGAUGAAAUUACAAGAGCAUUAGAACUUAAUUAUGUUGUUGUGUCGCCUGGAUUCCAUAAACGGAGAAGUUGAGUGUAAGAAAAUUAGAGUUAUGCAAUUUGGAAUUGAGCUAAGAUUGGAGUAGAUGAUAGUAUCGGGUUUUCUGCUGAUUUUGGUUUAUUGUUUGUGGUGGUGACUGCAGUAUUCUUGUUCCAUUUCCAAUCAUAUGAAAGUGCAGGAACAUGAAUUUGGAUGCUUGAUUGGUAAAAGAUGAGUUUUGGGUGGUAGGAAAUGGAGCUGUGUUAUUGGAAUAGGGAGGGGAAGAUGGUUGUGUAUAGUACUAAUACUGAACUUGGCGGAGUUGAAGGAUGCAACUAAGAACUGUUGAUUUGCGAUAUGGAACUAGGAGCUUGAUUUCAAAUGGAGAAAGUGAGUAUUGGCAAGUGCAGGAGUAGGACAACUUGAGAAGUAUAAAUUGGCUAAAGAGCUUAUGGGUGUCCUUAUCAAUUUCAAAGACUGGAUUGCAUCGACUUGAAAUCAUCAGAGUGAAUAAAUGCGGAUUAAGGAACUCAUCUGGGUGUCUUAGUAGAUUUAUGAAUUCGGUCCGGUUGACUUAAAGUGACUUAAAUUUGGCUUAAAGUGAGUUUUGCGGAUUAAGGAUUCAGGGUGUCCUUAGUAAUUUUAAGAACAUGAUCAAUUUUGGAAAUUGAUUUAGUUUAUUUGAGGUUCGACGGCUUUCUCGGUAAGGAAUUGUGACGAGGAUCGAGUGACUAUCGACUUUUUCAGAAGCAGAAGGAUAAAGAUUUCAGAAUGCGUGUCGCUGAGUUAUUAGUUUUAAUUAGCGUCAGAACUAGCGCUCGGAUUUCAGGUAUGGUCUUUCUUGGGGAACCUUUUUUUAAAUUGAUAAUUAGAUUGUUAUUGAAAUUGGUGAAUUGUUUGUCAUUGAGUGAUUAACUCUUGGAUGUUACUGCUUUCUAUAAAAGCAUGUGUAAUCGUUGAGUUAUAUGAUUGUUAUUAUCGCUUUUCUUAAAAAGUAUGUGUUGGAUGAUAUAAUAUGAGUAUUGUUAUUCGUUGCAUACAUAAUGCAUUUUGAAGAAUUAUGAGAUUAGUGAGAUUGGUGAUUAUGGAGAGGUGAGAACGAGAUCAAAAUAUACAUUUUGUACAGUUGAGUUUCCUUAUGGGUUGUCCAUAAAUCUAUGUCAUCCCACUUGCGCAAAUGAGUGGGCAAAGUAUACUCCUUCGAUGGCGGACAUCAAUAAAACGAUCUUUCGGGUUUCGGUUUUGGAGAGUAUGAGUAUAACAAGAUGACUAACAAAAGAGGUACAGGUGAUGAGAUAUUACUGAUUGUUAGAUCAUAUAUUCGAGACAUCUGAGUCACCCAUGGUUGGUAAAAUACACUGUAUGAGACGUGUAACUGAGGAAGACAUUCAUUAGCAUAUAUGCAUCUAAUUAUCGUUAUAUAUUUAAAGUAUUGUUUGAUACUUGAUAACUUGAUUGUGUGACGACAUAGUUAAAUGUAACUAAAGAGGUUUGGCCCUACUAAGCGUGAGCUCAUCCCUAUAUACUCUUAUUCAGGUUCAUACAAGGACACAUAUUUGUAGAAGACUAACUGUGACGUUUAGUUGACGUGAACGAGAGUCGAGAAGGACUACCGAAGUUUCUAGUGAGCUAAACAACAAGACUAGUUUUACCUUUAUAGUGAGCUAGACUGCAAGACUUGUUUUGUCUUUAUAAUCGGUUUUGUUUUUUGUAAUCGUUUUAUUUUCGACUAUUUCGAGAAAAAUAUUUAAAAUUAUUUUAUUUUCUUUUAUUUUUCCCGCUCACGCCUCGGAUUCGGUGUUAAGUGUUUGGAAACCACCGACACCGGGUCAGGGGUGUGACAAUUUUAGUCCUUGGUUUGAUGCCUAAGCUACUUCGCUCCUCCAAACUGGGCCGGUGUUGGAUCAAACAAACAGAAACUUGAAAGAAGGAGUCCGAUACAAGUCAUACAACUACGUUGGUCGGAGCGGAUUUUACGCAUCAAGGUGCCCUUGCACCAUUAAUCUGUAAGUUUUUAAAUCUUCGUAUGCAAAGAUUUAAUGAAGACUAGAGACCUUAAAUUCUUUUCUUUCAUUUUUAUUUUUGACCUGAUCAAAUUAAACGCCAAUAAUUAGAGUACCUCUUAUUCAAUCUCAUGUCCUCAUCUCUUGUGUUGAAAACACUUUUGAUUAUUUUUUUGAGUUUUAAUUUUGUUAAUGGUAUUAAAAUACAUGCAUGAUAAUGCGACAUAGAUGAUCGGAUCAAAACAUUGCGUAUUAAUUGCUCGAUUCACUUGUAGAAGAAUUUUCGAGCUUCGGGCCAAUAUUCCAUUUUUCUUUUUAAUAAAAAAUUCUAGCAGCUAGACAGCUAGUUAACCAAUUGUGAAGCUACACAACUGGGACUUGCAGCGGAAAACAACUACCACGCGUUGCAUGGAGAGGUUAGGUCCUGCAUGCAACUCCGCCGCCCGUAAAUCUCCUACUGACAGCUCUACCCCUCGAUUUGCAGAUACUGAUGUAAAACCCGAGGACAAAACGGUAAUCGUUGAUACUCCGAGCCAGACAUAAAACUAUCCAAGAACAAAGAGGAGACACCACAGGAAAAAUGACCGGACCGCCUCUACCUCGACCCUUUCUAACGUGCUUGGUUGGUGUAGCAGUCUUAACCUGCGCACUAACCUUCUGUGUUGCCCUAGAUGUCACCCCCCAAGACCCAAUCAUCCACCAAGUCACAGACCAUGAUACUAACAAGCUCCUUGGAACCGAGAAAGAGUUCAAGAGUUUCAUGGAGAAGUAUGAGAAGAAGUACCCUACUAGGAAGGAGUACAUGCACCGGCUAGUUGUUUUUUCCAAGAACAUGAUCAGAUCCGCCGAGCACCAAGCUCUGGAUCCGACGGCGGUUCACGGCGUCACGCCGUUCUCGGAUCUGGAGGAGGAGGAGUUCGAGAGGAUGUACACCAUUCCUCGAAAAGUUAAAGUAAUCUUUUUUAGAAAUCGAAUGGAUUCGGUCUUAUACAUACGCAAGGAAGGUAAUAAAAAAAAAGAAAGAUGAGUUCUUUUAUCACUUAGGAGCUGUGCGAGAUAAAAGUCUCAUGCACGGUUUUGAAUGAGAGAAAGAAGUGAGGAAUCCUUUUUUCGACACUGACUCUCCCACUCCAGUUGUUGCUUUUUUUUUCUUUUUUUUCUGUUACUUCAAAAGUCGUUGCUUCAGUUUCAGCCACUCGAAUUUUCGAUGUUCUUUUUUAUUUCUCAUCAAACGAAUGGCAUUUUCUUCCUAUUACUCAAACAAGCAUGAAACGUAUGCUUGCGUAUUCGUCCAUAGGUCAAAUUGGAUAUGUAAUUAUUGGAAUAAUUGUUGGAGACUCAAAUGGUGGAUAUGUAAGCAUGAUAACUUAUAUGUUGUUCUAUAUCUCUAUGAAUCUAGGAACUUUUGUUUGCAUUAUAUCAUUUGGUUAGAGGUGCGCCCGGCUUAACCAACGGCGGAGGCGGUACGGGGAGCACGGUUGAGCUUCUGGAUGUUAGCGGGUUGCCUGAGAGUUUUGAUUGGAGAGAGAAAAAGGAGCUGUUACUGAGGUCAAGAUGCAGGUAGUUUCUAAUUUUCGUUUUAUUUCUGAUUUUUUAGGUUGGACACACAAUAUAUGUGAUUAACAGUUUCGGCCGUACUUAAAUCCUAGCUUUUUGCAAAUCAAGUUAUGGCACAUACGAUAUAGAAGUCUCGUAGCUGGUUGUAAAUUACUAAAUUGUGUAAUCUGAAGUCGAUCAGCUGAUCAGGUGCUGCUGGUUCUUUUGUUUAAUUGAUUGUAUAACUAGCUUGACUUUGAGAGUUUGAAGUUUUGUACAGAAAGAUUUGUCUAAUAGAGCUAGGGUGUUUGUGGAACAUGGAAUUAUUCUUCAGGCAAGGAGUUGUAUUGUGAUACUUAAAGCCUCUAAAUCUCUUGUUAUGGAUGCAGGGUGGCUGUGGGUCGUGCUGGACCUUUAGCACAACGGGAGCUAUUGAAGGAGCCAAUUUCAUUGCCACUGGGAAGCUUGUUAGUCUCAGUGAACAGCAGCUUGUUGACUGUGAUCACCAGGUAAUUAAGCCUAGCCUCUCUGGAAUAUAUUGAAGUACUCAUUUAACUUUAGGGCGAUAAAAAUUUAAUUGAUUGAGCAUAUAUAUAAUAUUUGGCAUGCCUACUUAAUUAGUUUCGUUUAAUGUUUGUGGCAACUAUAAUCAAGUGUGAUGCAAAAGAGAAAGAUGCAUGUGAUCGUGGUUGUGGUGGCGGACUUAUGACAAAUGCCUACAAGUAUCUAAUGGAAGCAGGAGGGUUGCAAGACGAGGUUUCAUACCCUUAUACGGGGAAAAAGGGCGAAUGCAAAUUUAAUCCUGAAAAAGUAGCCGUGAGAGUAACCAAUUUCACCACUAUUCCCCUUGAUGAGAAUCAGAUUGCAGCGAACUUGGUCCACAAUGGUCCUCUUGCCAGUGAGUACUAAACCUGAUAAUAUGCUUAAAAAUAGCUAGGCUUUUUAUGUAUCUAUGUGUGCGUACAUAGAACUGCCUUAAGUGUCUUAUUUUCUGAAUAUGAUGUGCACUGUUUAGCAUAUUUAGAUCUGAGUGUAGAUACACCCCACUGAUACAGAAUCUUAAUUGAUGUAUGUAUGCGCAGUUGGCUUGAAUGCUAUGUUCAUGCAAACCUACAUUGGCGGUGUGUCAUGCCCUCUUGUUUGUUUCAAGAAAUGGGUGAACCACGGUGGUUCACUUGUUGGAUAUGGUGAGAGUGGCUUCUCGAUUCUCAGGCUCAGCAACAAGCCGUAUUGGAUCAUCAAGAAUUCAUGGAGCGCAAAAUGGGGAGAACAUGGUUAUUACCGACUUUGCCGAGGCCAUGGCAUGUGUGGGAUGAAUACCAUGGUGUCUGCAGUUGUGACCAGUACGCGGGCAUCCUAGCUGCAUCUCCCGAGAUUAGCUAGUAUAUAAUUAUACACUAUAAUAUUAUAUGCACCUCUCCCUUGUUUUUUCUUAAUCCGAAUUUGAUGUUCCUAUAAUCAUAUUUCAACAAUAUUAUUGUUAAUAUGCCGAAGUGGAAAGUCUUGUUUACGUCAAAACCAAUUCGAACUAUAUUUUGUUAGCUUUAAAUGCUAGAUUGUCAGACUUCAAAUUUAAGUCGGAAAAAUUUUACAAUAUGUUAAUGCAUGUUAUGCAUCAAUUUUAUCCUAAAAUUGUAAAAUGAGUCUCUAAAGUAGUAAUAUUAGUCCUUGAAGUUGUAAUAUAUACGAGUAGUUGUAAAUUUUAAAGUUACAACAUUAGUUAUCAUGUGUCCUUAAAGUAAAUUUUACAGUUACAACAUUAGUCAUUGUGUCUUUAAAGUGAUAAAAUGCGUGCUUAAAGUGGUAAUUGAAUCCUCAAAGUGAUUGAAAAAGUUUUUAUAUCUUUGAGGAUUUGUAUUACAACUUUGAGGAUUUGUAUUACAACUUUGAGGACUCAGUUACCUCUUUAAGGACACAUAAGGAUUAAUAUUGUAACUAAUUUUUUUACAACUUUAAAGACUUAUAUUACAACUUUAAGGACUAGCUAAUAUUACUACCGUAAGACUCGAUCAUUUUAUAACUUAAGAGCAAAGUUGAUACAUCACAUGCAUUUUUUUUUUAUUGGUUAAUGAUCGAGGAUAGGCGAAUAAUCACCUAUCACUCUAUGUUAUUAAUAAAAGAAAAAAGAAACAAAGGAGGGGGAUCAAAACCAAAACAUCCUAAAACAAAUGACAGACUAGCUGAAACGAAAUUGAGGCAUACCUCUAACAUCGUUAUUAUAAGACAAUAAUAUGAAAGGUGGAGGCUCAUCCCACCAUAUCAAUUCAGAGCAUGACGUACCUUGAUUUGCCAGAGCAUCAGCUAUCUUAUUCCCUUCACGAAAAAUAUGAGUAGCCUUGAAAUUCAUUUUAGAGAUUCGGUAUAAGCAAUUCAACCAACGAACUCGAAGAGGCCAAGGAACAAGAGAAGGUCUGCGAAUAUAAUCAAGUACCAAAGAUGAGUCAACUUCCAACCAAAUAUGCUUCCAAUCACGAACCCAAGCAAGCUCAAUAGCUUUAAUAACAGCCAUUAUCUCCGUUGAAAUUGAACUAGGAAUUUCAAGAUUAGAGGCAAAAAGCACCUAGAAAGUGGCCCUUGUAAUCUCUAAAAAUAGCACCAUAACCACCCACUCCCUCUUCAUGCUUCCAAGAGCCAUCAGAAUUUAUCUUCACCCACCCAAGAGAAGGAGGAAUCCAAUUAACUUCAACCACUCUAGGAGUGGCACGAGGUCGACAUGGGGCUCCAAAACAUUUCAAAAUUCGUAGCUCCUGGACACUGUUAUGCAUAUGACCCGUUGUAAGAUGACUAGUGGCUCUUAUAUGACUUGAUAUUAGCUUGCAAACAACUUCAACUGAAAAGCGACAACCAUCAAAUCUGGUUUUAUUUCUCACAUGCCAAACAAACCACAAAAUGGAGGUAAAGCAAAUAAGCCAUAAUUCCAUUAAUUGAGGACUUCUUCCAUUCUGCAAACCCAACCCAUAAAGCUCCAAAAUAGAAGAAGGAAUCAUACCUAACUCAAAAAUAGAGCCAAAGUGACAGAAGAGACGCCAACGGCACCAACACCCAAAGCCAAAGGUAAAGUGUUCGUCAAAGGACUCCACAAUUCCAAGAAUGCUUUCCAUGUGCUCGUGCAAUAAUGGUAAGGAUAUCGAGAGACGCCAACGGCACCAAAUAUUCCAGCUUGAUUCAAUACGCCUUCAAAAUUGGCUAAUAUGAAUUCUGUCCACUCCAUUACGCCUAUCUCAAGUGUAGCACAACCCCGGAAACAAAGGCUCGAAGACCAAUCUUGUUUGGUGUUUAGCAUCCUGUGAAGUAUCGGGUAAAAAUUCUCUUCGAAAGUGAAAAGACCUCCAUCAUGUCUGUUAUCAACCUUCUCCAAAGUAUGCCCCUUAAAUACAUGGGAAAAGUUGUGGGUUGUUCUUAUCACUUGAUCCUCCAAAUCUUGGCGAAAUGUAAGAAAGCCUGAGUUCAUUUCAACUUCUGUCACCAAGGUAAUGAUGUCUUUAGGAGGGACAUCAACAUGAAUGGAGCUUAAAGGCUGUGAUCUCACGUACUCUAUGCCCUUUCCAACAACCUGCCUGUGUUUGUCCAAAGCUGCCUCGCGGGAAAUUCGACCAUAUGCAUCCAUUACCUGAGAUUAUAGCACGCAGAGAUGUUAAAAGCAAGCAAUAGCAAGUCAAGCUUUGCGCGAGAAAAGCAAGUUCCACGUACAAAGCUUGAGGGGGCACUGUUGAUACCAAAAAAAAAGGAUUACAGAAAAGGAAAAAAAUAAAUAAAAUAAAUAAAUGGAAGAGUAUUUAUUCAUGUCAUACUCUUCCGUUGGUUUUGAUUACACGCACAAAGCUUUUGAGUUCAAUUACAACUCUUGCAAGCAGGUGCUUGGAUAAGAACAAAUCAGUACGAGCACCAGAGUUUGAUUGUAACUCAAUUAUCCUAACCAAGCACUCUAUAUAAAGAGGCCAAUACCUUCAAAAAAAAAAAAAAAANAANNNNNNNNNNNNNNNNNNNNAACACCAACGGGAGGAGGCAGGCGGGCAACAAGGAGGAUCACAAAGGAGCGGUUCAUUCUUUACAAGGUUCGGAUGGAGAGUUCUCUUUCUCUUUGCGCAGCUCUCUUUAUGUUCUGUUGAUGGAGGCAUCACUGCCUUCAUAUUCCUCGCAGAUGGCCUCUGGUGUUCUUGGUUACUAUUGUUCCUGGUCACCCAAAUCCCUUGCGGAUCGAUCUGGUUAUUAUAGUUACUGUGUUCUGUUGGUUACUUGGUUACUACUGUGUUCUCUUGGUUACUUGGUUACUCAAAUCCCUUGUGGAUCGUUCCUGGUUACUCGUUACUUGGUUACACAAAUCCCUUGCGGAUCGUUCCUGGUUACUUGUUACCCUAAACAUUGGUUACUGGAUACUAUGGUUACUGGAGACUAAUGGCUACUAUGGCAAUGGUUCUAUGUUACAAUGGUUAUAUGACACUAUGGUUACUAUGAUUCUGGUUCUAUGGCUACUGUAGCACUAUGGUUACAAUAUGGUUCUGGUUCUUUGGGUACUUUGACACUGGUUACUAUAACAGAUCGGUUGCCCUUUGAUCCUACAAAACCAAACACAAAACCAAUACUCAAAAUUCCACCACAAAAGGCCAUUGUUGUCCCUGUUCCCUGUUAACCACCACAGCCAAAUACCUUUCCAAAUUCCAUGUUUCAAGCACCAACUCAAAUACUGUGCAAUGAAACUAAAAGAGACAAUAACAGAGGCUUACCCUCAAACUAUGACAAUCGAUCUAUUCCGAUACUACAACUACUACCUGUGUUUCAUACCUUCAUGCUGUAGCAGGAAUGGUGAUGAUAUUGCAAAAAGAGAACAGCAAGUUCCUGUCAAGUUAACCUCACAAAAACAUCCGAGCAAAGAGAGUCAUUGAUUCUUUGGCUCUGUCCCUUUAAAAAAAACAAAGGGGGCUCGGUGAGUUUUCUCAUGAUUCUUCUCCAAUAUCACAAGAUGACAAGAAUCAAGCUUGGCGGUGACCCUCCCAAACAGAGAAGGCUUACUCAAACAUAAAUAUGCAUUCACCACCAUGGAGUAAAACAAAAGAAGCAAACUUAAUUAAACAAGUUUUGUUUCUGGAAGUUCCAAGGCAGCGAGCCGAAUACACCCACAGUCAAAUAAAUUGGAGCUAAGAAGUUUAGAGUCUCAAAGCAAAAGACGUGUUCUUCCUCAAAUUAAAGCCUGCAAAUUGAAGCCUGCAGCAAAAUUAACCUACUCGAAGCUAAGCUCAUCCAUUCGACGCUAAGCUAAUCUACUCGAAGUUAAGGAAGCGAAGGAUAAUUAAUUUUGCCAUUGAAGAAUUGUAACAAAGCACCUAUCCAACACAAGGCAGUAACCAAAUUGAACGCUACCUGUGAAGAAACAAGCUUUUGACCAGUGGGAAAUCCUUCGAAAUUACUCUGAAGCAUAAUGGAGAUACUUUCGUCAUGAGGGUAUUUGAAUUGUAGGGAUGAAAGCAGGAACACAAUAGGGGUUAUCCUUACCCAAUUUCGCACAGUGAGAAAGAGCACAGCAAAUCUCAAGCCUCCCAGUGUUGAUAAAUUUCUUCUCGGCGACUUAGGAGCACUGCCAUCACCAAGUCGGUUGCUGCGCCAACCCCUCUCCAUUUGAUCAGUUUCGGCCUUCAAGUUCUUCUGGGUUACAAUAAACAAGGCAGCAGAAGAUCAAAAGAAAGAAAAGAAAUGAAGAAUGGGGAGAGGGAAAGCUAACGGGCCUCCACAUUGACGGAUGCUACUCACAAGCAAGGCCCAUGUCAAAUUUGGGCCCAUCUGAAAAGUUCAACGAGGCUCAAUAUAUGGGUGUUCAAAUCAAAAUACCCAAACUUCGGUUUCGUUUAAAAAUUCUUCGGAACCCGAAUGAAGUUGCGUUUGGUACAAAACCAAGAAAUACUCAAAUACCCAAAUUUUUGAACUACAAUGGUUUGAUCCCUUCACAGGGUAUGUAGGCAGUCCAGAUUUAAAUCUGGAUAUAACCACAUUUAAAGCCAAAUCGUUGGUUCUUUCCAAGCCAAAUUCUAAAACACAUAACCAAACCUUUCGACAAGUCAUCUACUUCGUCGAAACCCCAAAAGCCAUAAAACUUGAACUACGAGUGACUUGAUCCCUUAUGGGGUACGUAGGCAGCCUGUAAAACAAAUCGGGUGCAGUCGCAAUUCCCCUCGAACACACAUUCCCCAUUUGUUACUUUGUAAUUAGAAUCAAAGGGUCUUCCCCCGAAAGCAAGGGUUGUAAUUAAGAAAUUUAUUUUAUUUCGAAUGGGUCGAACCAGACAUAAUUAAAACUCUAUUUUAAUCAAUGAGAUAGAGUGAAAUUGUGUUGGGUAUAUUUAUUUACAAUUUUUGCUCAACAUAGUUUUUGGCGACUUCACUGGGGACUCUCAACUGGUCAUCAGACAAAUAAAUGACGAGUAUGCAGUCAAAAAUGAGAACCUUAUAUCAUACUACCAAAGAGUUAAAUAUCUCCUGGGACAAUUUCGAGAGAUAUAUGUUGGCCACAUUCCAAGAUCAGAGAAUGAUAAAGCAGACGCAUUGGCUAACUUGGCAGCUUCUUUAGUACUUCCUGAAGAGAAAGACAUCCAAAUAACAGUUGGAGAACGUCGAUUGCAGUCCUACGUCACUUGAACGAAUGGAAGCUACCAAUGAAACAAAUGUAGUUUCUGUGUUCGAAACUGAGGAAGAAUCUGAUUGGCUCAAAUUGAUGCAGUGAACGAGCAAGAGAGGAAAGUAUGAUUCAAAGUCUCCGAGCAAACACCACAAAGCUCACAUCUAGAAACCCAAGGAAUACCUCGACGCUGAAGUAAAACAUCAGAAAUAACUCUACCUCUUAACACCUUCCAUGCUAGGAAAGACAUUCUUGGCAGAAUAUAUUUAGCCCAUAAUCUCUUACCCCAAAUUACUGGAUUAGAAGAAUGCCGCAUAAAAGUAUAGGCUUGUUUUGCGGUUAACUCAUCGGAGGCUGAAGAGGUCCAUAUAAGUUUGUCAUUAACUGAAGGAUCUUCUGACACAGGGACUUGAUUGAUCAUACCACAUAAGGCUGGGUAGUGCAACUGUAGUAAUGGAGGAAGAUUCCAUGAACCAUUGUCUAUAUAUUUUGACACCAAAUCCGAGUUAUCCUGCAUCAACACAUUAGAACCAAAGAACUCAUUUAUUGGCCUACCCAUAAACUUGUCGCGCCAAAAGUAAAUUCCAUUCCCAGAACCAAUGAACCAUUGAGAAUUAUCUUGAACAGUCUUCCAGAAUUGACGAACACCAGGCCAUAUAGAAGAAGGAGCAUAAGAUUUCCGUCUAGAGAAACGAUUGCGAAUAAAAGCACAACCCUCAGAUUGAGCUGUAUAGAUUUCCCAGCAACGUUUCAAUAAGAGAGAUCGAUUAAGCAGAACUAGUUGUUUGAGCCCCAAGCCACCUUCUGCAAUUGGGGAACAACAAGACUUCCAAGCCACAAGAGGGAUCCCUCUUUUAUCAAUUGAGCCAGACCACAGAAAGUUUCGGCACCAUACCUCAAUUUUUCGCACCACAGACACAGGCCAUUCAUAUACUUGAAAAAUGUAUACCAACAUGCUAAAAAUAACAGACUUGAUAAGCUGCAAACGUCCUGCCAUUGACAAAAAAGAACUCACCCAACUCGAUAACUUUAUCCUUAUUUUGUCAACAAUCUGAUGGAAAUAAGAAGCACGAGGUUUGCCAUGAAAAAUAAGGGCACCCAGAUACAUGAAUGGAGCAGACCCCAAGGGAAUACCCAAGAAGUUCGAAAUAGAAUGCCGCCUUGAAUGUAUACUAUUUCCAAUAAAAACCUGAGACUUCCCUUUGUUGAUAACUUGACCUGAAACUCUACCAUACUCAUCGAAGAACCGCAUAAUCCGCGAUAAAUUCCGCCUAUUGCCCCGAAAAAAAACAAUAACAUCAUCUGCAAAUAGGACAUGAGAUGGAGCAAGAGUAUUUCGUGGAGAAGAGAUACGCUGCAGUUGUCCCGAUGAAACAAGUAAAGAGAUCCCACGACUAAGGACUUCUUCUGCUAAGCAAAAGAGCAAGGGAGAAAGAGGGUCACCUUGACGCACACCCCUUUCACAAGAAAAAUACCCCACAGUCCUCCCAUUAAUCAACAGAGAAAGCUUGGCUGACAGAAGCAAGGCACGCACCCAUUGUACAAAGAUCGGAUCAAACCCAAAAGCCUGAAGAACAUGAAGAAGAAAAUCCCAUGACAGAGUAUCAAACGCCUUUGUAAUAUCAACCUUAAUUGCAAGGUUACCCCCCAUGACAUUUUGAGUUCAACAAAUUAAAGCACUCUGAAGUAGUUAAUAUACAGUCUGAUAUGUUCCUCCCUGCAACAAAAGCAUGCUGUUGAGGAGAAAUAAUACGAGAUGCCACUGAUGCCAACCGGAUAGCUAUGAUCUUUGGGAUAAUUUUAAACACAAAGUUGGUGAGGGCAAUAGGCGAAACUGCUUUAUGGAGUCGGCAUGAUCAACUUUGGGGAUUAAGAUGAUAAUACCUGAGUUAAAGGAAGGAGCCAAAUAACCAUGUUGAAAAAAUACUGAACAGCCUUAACAACAUCAGCACCAACAACAUCCCAGCAAGAGACGAAAAAAUGGCCAUUAAAUCCAUCUGGCCCCGGGGCACUAUCAGGAUCCAUUGAUUUGACAGCUGCCCAAAUUUCCUCUGAUAAUGGAACACUAGUAAGCAUCGUAUUUUCCUCAGGAGUUACCAUAGAGUGAAUCACUUUGGACACCAAGCCACUAUCUUCAUACUCUGCAUGUUUAGUAAAAAGAUUUUUGUAAUAAUCAACUAUAUGAUUUUGGAUAUAAUGAGGAUCCUGAAGCACCUGAUCUCCAUCACGAAGCAGAGUAAUAGAAGAACGAUUUCGGCGCACUUUACACAAAGCAUGAAAAUAAGAAGAAUUACGAUCACCUUCUGAUAACCAUCGCAACCUUGACUUCUCACGCCAAAGAAUUUCCUGAUGCAGAAUAGACUCAUUCAAAAUGGCCUGCAAUUCAGUCUCUUUUUCAAACUCUUCAUCUGAUCCCCCAGAAGCUGCAAUUUUAUUUUGAAUAUCAGCAAGGGCUGCAAGGUCAAACUCAACCCGACGGUGAACAUCCCCAAAGACCUCCCAGUUCCAAGUACGGAGAGAUUUCCUUAAGGUACGCAGCUUAUAUUGCAGGACAGAAUAAGGACAACCAAACGAAGUAGUAGAGGACCAACAUCCUUUGACAAAACUCAUAAAAUCCUUAUGCUCCAACCACAUUUUUCUAAACCGAAAGAGACUAAAACGAGACCCUGUAAACUUAGAAAAGGACAUUAGUAGUGGAUUAUGAUCAGAGCAAGUUCUGGGUAAGGUGCAACAGUCAAACUGAUCCCAUUCCUCCAUCCAAUUCAAAUUAGCAAGACUUCUAUCUAAUCUUAGCUCCACAUUACCACGAAAACCACGCCGUCUCACCCAUGUAAACUCUGCCUCUUUAGUAUCUACAUGAAUAAGUUCACAAACAUCUGACAUUGUCUGAAAUUCCUCACAUGAUCGCCGACAUAGAGGAGCACCUCCUUUCUUUUCAUGAGCACCAAGAACUGCGUUAAAAUCUCCAAAAACCAACCAUGGUCCUGUAACAAAACGACCUUUGAAAUCAGUAAUAUCUUCCCAUAACUUCCGGUGGCCAGAGAUUGUGGUACGAGCGUAGACAGCUGUAAGAAAACAGUUUACCGAAUCAAACAUAACUUGUAAAGAAACCUGCUGAUCCGAGGUAGACAACACCCGAAUCCAUGGAGCCAGAGAAGUCUUACAAAAAACCCAUAGAUUAGGUAAUGCAGAACCCCGGUCAUUUGCACCAACAAAUCGCAUGCCUAACGAACGCCAAAAGAAUAGAGGAAUUGAAGUCAAGGCAACGAAAGGCUCAGCUAUACAUAAAACUUCCAGGUUGUGAACCCGUACAAACUGUUUCAAAGCAUCUUGAGUGGGGACAUUAGCAAUGCCCCGUAUGUUCCAAUAAAGAACCCUCAUUUAGGAGUGUCUUUGGAGCGACGGAGAUAGGCUUCCCUAUUCUCCUUCGAAGCAGCCUUCCUCUUUUGAGACCUGGACAUAACAACAGUAAAACCAUCAUCAAUGUCAACUCGUUCUGUCUCCUCAUACCAGCUAUCAAUUCGAGUUACUGAAUUUGCAGCAACAGCAACCCCAAUGUCAGAAGACUGCUCAUGCAUACUACCACCGGCAGAGUCAUCUUCACUAUUCUGCUCGUUCUGAUCAAUUGCAUACCUAGUAUCAUCUUCUUGCUCAACCACAUUACCAUGGAUAGCUACUGGUACCAAAACCACAUUCACCCCCGGCUCAACCACUUCUUGGACAGGUGCCACCACUUCCACUAGCGGUUCCGGCACAACACUAGAUAUCACUAGUUGGCCGACCGGUGCUGGAGACUUCUGCACAAAGGAAGGACCCUCACCAAAAUCUUCCCUGGGGUUUGGAGUUGAAUCAAUAAUCAUGCUCUUACCUCGAUCUGCUGGAUUAGAUGGGUUUUUAGGCACAUACACUUUGGAGACUCGUUGCUGAUCACGGUUCCUGCGAGAUCGUCUACUACGCUUGCGCGAUCGACCUCUGCCUUUCUCAGUCUCAUUAUCCAUUGGAACCGGGUCAGAAGAUCUAUGCACAUACUUGCAAGCUGUGACAAGGUGCCCAACGUUGCCACAAUGAGCACAAAUAUGUGGAAGCUUCUCAUAAUCCACAGUCUGAACAAAAGACGAACCGCACUUACGCUUGACAACCAAUUCAUGCGGUGGAUCAACAGAGAGAUCAAUAUCAACCAAUAUUCUAGCAAAUAGGGUUCUAGGUUCCCAAAACUCAAGCCCUAGAUCCUAAAACCUCACCCACACCUGAGCAUUAGUAUUACGUUGAUUCGCUGGGGAGAAAUUUGGAACCCAUCGCAUGAAACGCAAGAAGCCAGGCUUGAGAGCAAUUGCACCCUUUACCCAGACUGUAGAGAGAUCCUCAUCCGUAGAGAAGCUAAACGUGAAAUAACCUUUUCCCAUGGGAAUAAUCUUCCAAGCCCCUAGACUUCCCCAAAGAAGAGAAAGCUUAUGAGACAGAUCUGAUGCAGAGUAGGGUUUAUCCCUCAAACCCAAUUGCACCCUUCCGAUUAACAUAUGUUUACAAUUAUCCAAACCCGAUUGAUAGCCCUCUUCUGAAAUAGUAACAGUUGUCUUGCCAUCUAAAAUCUCAGGAAUAGGUAGAUCAUCAAUUGGGAUGAAAGCUUGCGCCGCCGCCGCCGCAUAAGAUUUCGUCGGCUUCGCAGCCCCCUCGUCGAGAAAAGACCACGGGCAGAAGGGACGAUGCUGAACAGCCAUGACGUCGUGAAGCAAACGGAACUCGAAUUCAAGGAUUUACUGCAGGGAGGCUCCAGCACGGGGAAACCCUAGCAGAGCCAUCACCAACAUAAUGUAACUCGAUGCAUCACAUCCAUUAACACACUAUAGUCUUACCUUUUAAGUUGAGUCAAUGCAAGAGUUGCACUAUUUAGACCAUUUGGUUCUUCCGAAAAUAUGUAUUAUAUUUUUGAGAAUUUCAACGUCUGUAGUAGAGUCGACGAGGAUUUUAGAUUUGAUUUCGUCGAUGGCGUUGUCGAGCUAUUGCGUCAAUAGGAUGAUGAAGAGCAACCGGAAUCACCUCUCUUCUGACGCAAUUUGUUUUUCAAAGAUCUGGUCCGUUGCACUGGCCGGUCGAAGCCUUUUCAGUUCUCAAAACAGUUCAGAAACUACAGGUCUGAUAAUGAAAUGCAUAAAACAUUUAUAACUAUUGGUAAUUUAUAUCCUAGAGUUGUUCGAGUGUACUAACCACAGGAAAUAACGAUCUAGCUAGACUACCUUAUUUUCGUUAGGGCUGCUCUAAUUAGUCAACAUAUGCAGCUAGGUGAUGAUAAACUUACCCAAUUCGUUGUGAAAAUAAUUGAACCAUCAGUAGCCGUGAUAGUCCUUACGUACCUGCCCUUUCAUGAGCCUUAAUAUUUGGUGGCUUAUUAGCUACGCACUAAUGGUAGUUAAUUGUGCUUAUUUUGUGCAUGUGUGUUCUAAUACAAUUACCUACCUAGUUCUAAUUGUUCUAAUUCGUCGUGGAAUGUUUUCAGAGGAGAAAACUGAAUGGGGUAGCAUAGAGCCCUAUUACAAAAUAAUGUAUCUAUAACCUUCUCUAAUUUACAUAGUAAUUGACGCAAUUUGGCCGAACUGUUUCUGAACACACUGCUUCAGUUCUUUAUAAACCACGUACCAUAUGUAUGUAUUCAAGUGUCAGAUAUACUGAACCUACAUCGCCAAAAUGGAGAGAAUUCAGGUCAGUAUAAUUUCCAAACACACCGUCAAACCAUCAGCUUCCUCUUCACUACUUCGGGAUUGUCUAUGGUACAGCGCUGUAUGCCAUACAUCCUCUAACAGGACUUGUGUGCACGUGCCUUGCAGUGGGGGUGGGUGUUUUGUUUUGAAAUUUUUAGCCUUGAAAGCAGGCUGCAUAUCAUGCAGGGCUGCAGAUAGAAUUUUCCCUGAAUAUCACGCAUAUCAGCGCUGCAUGAUAUGUAUGAUUGUCUAUGGUACAACGCUGCAUAUCAUGCAGCGCUGCAUUAAAGCAGACUGCAUAUCAUGCAACGCUGCAGGAUAUGCAGCCUGCUUUCAAGGCUAAAAAUUUCAAAAUAAAACACCCCCACCUGCAAGGCACGUGCGACACAAGUCCUGUUAGAGGAUGUAUGGCAUACAACGCUGUACCAUAGACAAUCCCACUACCCUACUUCAGCCUUACAAGCUUACCCUGCUCGACCAGCUCACUCCUCCAUCGUAUGUCCCCAUGGUAUUCUUCUACCCCAUUACUGGCCCUGCAGUCUUCAAUCUUCAAACCCUAGCUGACUUAAGACAUGCCCUUUCCGAGACUCUCACUUUGUACUAUCCACUCUCUGGAAGGGUCAAAAACAACCUAUACAUCGAUGAUUUUGAAGCCGGUAUCCCAUACCUUGAGGCCCGAGUGAAAUGUGACAUGACUCAUUUUCUAAGGCUUCCAAAAAUCGAGUGCCUAAAUGAGUUUGUUCCAAUAAAACCAUAUAGUAUGGAAGCAAUAUCUGAUGAGCUUUACCCCUUGCUUGGAGUUCAAGUCAACAUUUUCGAUUCUGGGAUAGCAAUAGGUGUCUCCGUCUGUCACAAGCUCAUCGAUGGCCGAACGUCAUACUGUUUUCUCAAGUCCUGGGGUGCUGUUUUUCGUGGGUGUCGUGAUGAAAUCAUACAUCCUAAUCUCUCUCAAGCAGCAUUGCUUUUCCCACCGAGAGAUGACCUGCCUGAAAAGUAUAUAGCUUUGAUGGAAGGGUGGUCGAUUGCCGUAAAGAAAGUUGCUACAAGGAGAUUUGUAUUUGGUGCGAAAGCCAUAUCUGCAAUUCAAGAUGAAGCGAAGAGCGAGUCCGUGCCCAAGCCAUCACGAGUUCAGGCCGUCUCUGGUUUUCUCUUGAAACAUCUUCUCUCUGCUUCUCGGGCAUCAUCAUCAGGUAAAUCAGUUUAUGUGUCUUCUUAAAAGUGCACCACAUGCAAUUGCGUGAUUGGCAAAGGAGGGCUAGGCGUGAUUAAUUAAGCUAGAGAAGACAAGGUUUUUCCAUUAAUUGUUAGUGAGGCUUGCUCAAAUGCGAGCGUACAAGAGUUUUCAGUAGCUUUAUUUCUGCUGCUUAGGUUAUACCGGAUUUGUUUUGUAAGUUAGAAAAAUACAACUUAUUGGAUAUUGUUAUAAGCAUCUAAUUAAUGAUAUGAAUGAAAAAGAAAAAAGAUCGUACACUUAACAUUUUUCUGCUAUUAUUUCAUACUUAUUUUAUAUUUUUGUAUUACAUAUACUGUACAUAGCUUAAAAAUGAGAAAAUAUAUGAACUUUUGCAGGUACUACUUCAACAAAACUUUCUAUAGCAGCUCAGGUAGUGAACUUAAGAUCACAGAUGAACAUGGAGACAACGUUGGGUAAUGCCAUUGGAAACCUGAUGUGGUGGGCUCCGGCCAUACUAGAGUUAAAUCAUAAAGCACGAGAGAGCAGCGAUCCUAAGCUGUGUGACUUGGUUAUCUUGCUCAAUGAAUCUGUCAAACAAUCUAACAGUGAUUACUUCGACACUUUCAAGGGUAAAGAGGGAUAUGGAAGAAUGUGUGAGCAUCUAGAUAUGGAGGGGACUGUAAGUUCUGUAGAACCAGCACCAGAGAUAUAUUCAUUCUCGAGCUGGACUAGAUUUUUCGACCAAAUUGAUUUUGGAUGCAUGGGGGAGGUCAUCUUGGAUUGGAGUUACCGGAAAACAAUCUGCAUAUUGGAAUUCCACAGUUUUAGUACCAACACAAUGUGAUACUGGAAUUGAAGCGUGGGUGAAUCUAGAUGAAGAGAAAAUGGCUAUGCUAGAACAAGAUCCCCAGUUUCUAGCAUUAGCAUCUCCAAAGACCCUAAUUUCAAGGUAUUGAUUAUGAAAGAUUAUGUGGCUCGUGCAAUGUUUCCAUUUGCAGUGAAUAAGGAUUAAAUUAGUUCCCCGGCCAAUUAAUAAGAAGCAAGGUAUGAUAGACUAUGGCUACGUAUGUUAGUAUGUUAUCCGAAUGUGCUUCGUUAUGCUUUUAACCAAUAUAGCUCUGUUUUGUAACAAUGCUCUAUUGAGCUUCUAACUAUAGAGUUAUUUUUCUUGAUUAGAAAAAGAAACUAUGCAAGUUUUGUUUUGUUAAGCUAUUCUGUUUCUAAAAGAAAGGCUAUUCUGUUUCUAAAACGGGAUGCAUGUAUUACCUAAAAAGAUGAUUCACCUAUAAUUAUUUUUCAAGUAAAUGAUUAUUUGAUAGCAAUCACGCCGUGUAUUUCUAUAGCUAAAAUUGUAAUUUAGAUCAGUGACAACAUGAUUAAAAGUUACAUAUUCUGAUACAUUUGUUAUUUAACGACAAGUGUGGCCAUAAUGCCUCACCUAGUCACCUAAUGCGAAGACCUCUACGAGAGACUAAUGUCGUCUGAUCUUCUUUUCUUAAUCAAAAGAAACGAAAAUGGCCACAAUGCCUCACUAUUCAUAGAACCAUACAAUAAUUUGGAACAUAUGCAUGGAUGCAAAGAAAAAUAACACAAGAACCAUCAUAAUUUCACAUUAUAUGAGAAACUUAGCCAAAUCCGAAUCACAUCCAUGUUGGCCAAGAGUGACUAAAGAAGACCACCCAGAAAGCUAGAAAACCAUAAAAUCCAGAAAACUUGAAUAAGCUAGGGAAAAAACAAAAAUGUGACAUUCCAUUUCUUCUUGCGGUUUUGUUAGGCCAAAUCAAAAUCUCAAUGACCCUGCAAUCAUUUACACACACUCUUUCUCAAUCUCUGCAAAACUGACUGCUUCCCCUGAAAACUUGCGCAAUAGGGUACCUAGCUCUCUGGCCUUUUCUUUCUAAUGCACAAUUUAUGGCUUUUGGUAAUGAUGAUUUUAUGCUUGUGGAUCUCAGAUGGGUUUGUUUUGUUUUGGGAUUUUUAUAAAUGAAUGCAUUGAAAAUGUUGAAAGCUUAUGCCUUUGUUCCUUGGUUCAGUGUUCUGGUUUUGUGUACGUACGAGAGUUGAAAUGUGAUCUCUAGUAUCGGUAAAGAGAAAUGUUCUAACCAUGCUAGUGUUAGUAAUUUAUCUUCUAAAGUUGUUUGAGUACUUUACUCUCUUACUUUACUAACUAAGCAUAGGAAAUAACGACCUAAACUACCUGAUUUUCGUUAGUGCUUGUAAACACGAAAAUUCCUGUAACGAAUAACAGAAAGACAUGUGUACAAAAUAAUAUAUUUGUAUUGAUUGAAUUUGCGGGUUACAAUCUCUAUGGGUAUUCUUUUAACAAGAAUGUCCUCUGAUUCGAUCUCCGAUGUUGAUUUGAUCCAAGGGUGACAAGCACUUGAUCUUGAAUUGAACUGUUGUAGUUUGAACUUCUUAUUGUGUUGACGAUUUGUAGAAGGAAGUUGACCAAGGGCCAUAGAGGCUUGAUCUUGGUCGAAUAUGGGCCGCGAGAGGUGUCACGUGGUGAACGUUCUUCGACUUGAUAGCGGAUGAAUCGGCACGUGUGUUUGGUACUUGUUGAUUCUCCACGAGGUUGUUGAAGAACUUGGUAGAAGUUUUGAUUUGUUGAAAGACUUGAAGACGAGGGUUGAUCAAGGGCCGUAGAGGCUUGACGUUGAUCGAGUUUGGGCCGAGCAGUUCCACAUGGUGGUUGCUCUUCGUCUUGUAGUUGGUGAAGAUGUCAGCUAUUUGGCAACUUGGGACUCUUCGGGAUUUGACAACCUAUAGGCUUGAGGUUGAUGAAGAAUCAACUAUUUGGCAGCUUGAUGAUUCUUCAAGGGUUUUGGGAGAAUUCUAAACUCUCGGGAGUAAUUUUUCUCUCUUGUCUGAAAGUCGUCCUCUUGAUAUGAGAGGGGGUAUUUAUAGUGUUAAUGCUCCUCCGUAAAUGGAAUGCAUUGAAGUCACAGCUUUAAUUAUAUUUCCUUAAUGAUAUAAUUAAAUCAAUCACUUUUGAUUGAUUGAUUCAAUUAUUCAAUUUCCCAUAAUUAAAUCAAUCAGUCUUAAUUGAUCGAUUUAGUUAUGAUCGAUAAGGUAUUUCACUAAUUUGAUUAAAUUCCGACUUCCUUUUCGAUAAUUGAUUUGAUUUGAUUGAUGUUUGAUUAUCGAUUGACAUUUAAUAUUUUAUUUUAGUUGGGAUUGAUGAUUUUGUUGUCGACCGACCAUUCACACGCCGCCACGUGUUAUUUUCGAAGACUUUUCAACUUUGCUGACUCACGAGCCACGUAUGCACGAGACUUUUCAACGUCUCUAAUUUACAUAGUAAUUGACGCAAUUUGGCCGAACUGUUUCUAAACACACUAAGCUUCAGUUCUAUAUAUACCGCGUACCACAUGUUUCAUCAAGUGUCAGAUAAUACAGAACCUACUUCGCCAAAAUGGAGAAAAUUGAGGUCAGUAUAAUUUCCAAACACACCAUCAAACCAUCAACUUCCUCUUCACCACUUCAGCCUUACAAGCUUACCCUGCUCGACCAGCUCACUCCUCCAUCGUAUGUCCCCAUGGUAUUCUUCUACCCCAUUACUGGCCCUGCAGUCUUCAAUCUUCAAACCCUAGCUGACUUAAGACAUGCCCUUUCCGAGACUCUCACUUUGUACUAUCCACUCUCUGGAAGGGUCAAAAACAACCUAUACAUCGAUGAUUUUGAAGAGGGUGUCCCAUACCUUGAGGCUCGAGUGAACUGUGACAUGAAUGAUUUUCUAAGGCUUCCGAAAAUCGAGUGCCUAAAUGAGUUUGUUCCAAUAAAACCAUUUAGUAUGGAAGCAAUAUCUGAUGAGCGUUACCCUUUGCUCGGAGUUCAAGUUAACAUUUUCAACUCCGGAAUAGCAAUCGGGGUCUCCGUCUCUCACAAGCUCAUCGAUGGAAGAACUUCAGACUGUUUUCUCAAGUCGUGGUGUGCUGUUUUUCGUGGUUCUCGUGACAAAAUCAUACAUCCUAAUCUCUCUCAAGCAGCAUUGCUUUUCCCACCAAGAGAUGACUUGCCUGAAAAGUAUGCCCGUCAGAUGGAAGGGUUAUGGUUUGUCGGAAAAAAAGUUGCUACAAGGAGAUUUGUAUUUGGUGCGAAAGCCAUAUCUGUAAUUCAAGAUGAAGCAAAGAGCGAGUCCGUGCCCAAGCCAUCACGAGUUCAGGCUGUCACUAGUUUUCUCUGGAAACAUCUAAUCGCUACUUCUCGAGCACUAACAUCAGGUAUGUAAAAUCAGUUUAGCAACAAGCCAAAUACUAAAGCAACUAAAUAAAAACCUAUUGUAUUUGGGGUAGUCCCUUAUUAGCUGUUGUCCUAAACUUCUAACGAUAUGAACUUUUUUCUCAAAAGAAAAAAAUAGUACACUUAACAUUUUCUGUUAUAAUUUCAUACUUAUUUAUAUAUUUUUAUUACAUACAUAGCUCAAAGAAUGAGAAAAUAUAUGAACCUGCAGGUACUACUUCAACAAGACUUUCUAUAGCAACCCAGGUAGUGAACAUAAGAUCACGGAGGAACAUGGAGACAGUGUGGGAUAAUGCCAUUGGAAACUUGAUAUGGUUCGCUCCGGCCAUACUAGAGCUAAGUCAUACAACACUAGAGAUCAGUGAUCUUAAGCUGUGUGACUUGGUUAACUUGCUCAAUGGAUCUGUCAAACAAUGUAACGGUGAUUACUUUGAGACUUUCAUGGGUAAAGAGGGAUAUGGAAGCAUGUGCGAGUAUCUAGAUUUUCAGAGGACUAUGAGUUCUAUGGAACCAGCACCAGAGAUUUAUUUAUUCACGAGCUGGACUAAUUUUUUCAACCAACUUGAUUUUGGAUGGGGGAGGACAUCAUGGAUUGGAGUUGCAGGAAAAAUUGAAUCUGCAUUUUGCAAUCUCAUAACAUUAGUUCCAACACCAUGCGAUACUGGAAUUGAAGCGUGGGUGAAUCUAGAAGAAGAAAAAAUGGCUAUGCUAGAACAAGAUCCCCAGUUUCUAGCACUAGCAUCUCCAAAGACGCUAAUUUCAAGAUAUUGAUUAAGGAAGAUUAUGCGGCUCGUGCAAUGUUUCCAUUUUGUUGUGAUUAAGGCUUAAAUUAGUUCACCAGCCAAUCAAUAAGAUGCAAGUAUGAUAGACUCGGUCUACGUAUGUUAUCCGAAUGUGUUUCCACAUGCUUGUAACCAAUAUAGCUCUUGUUUGUAACAAUGCUCUAUUAAGCUCUUCUAUCCAUAAAGUUAUUUCUCUAUUAAAAAGAAAACUAUACAAGUUUUGUUAAGUUUUUAAGGUAAGAUGCAUGUAGUACCCAAAAAGAUGGUUGACCUGUCAUUAUUUUCAAGUACAUGAUUAUCCGAUACAAUUACAUCAAAUAUUUCUAUAGCUAAAAAGUAUGUAAUUUUGAUCCGUGACAACAUGAUUAAAAAGUUAUAUAUUAUGAUGCAUUUAUCCUCUAACGACAAGCAUGGUCAUAAUGUCUCACCUCAUCACCUCACCAAGCGCGGAUCCAGUUCACAAGUGGGUAAGGCUCAAGCCCAACCAAGAAAAUUGGGGGAAAAAAAAACCUAAGUAUAGAUAUAUAUUUUUUUGGGUGAUAUAUCAUAUAUGCCCAGCCAUCAAGUGACCAAGCCCAACCCACCUAACUCAACCCAUCCCACUAACUACCCAAGUCCACAAUCAUCACUCAUCACUCAUCCACCCAACCUCCUUCAUCGAAGGAGUCCUUUAACUAAUCAGCUUAAACACCAAGUCUAAAAGUCUUCCCUGCUCUUCCCCUCCGCCUCCACUCAGUCACUCACCUAUGACCUAUCCCGGCUAUCCGGCUAUCCCUCUUCCCCUCCAGUCCUCCACGGCUCCACCAUAAUCUCCUUCUUCCCGGCCUCCUCCGGUCCUCCGAUUCCUCCCGGAUAGCGACGACUCGCCUCCGGCGGUCCGGACCUCCGCGGCUCCGCCUCCAGUCCUCCACUCACCUAUCCCUCUUCCAGCUGCUAGAAAGCUUGUUCGAGACUUGGUCCUCCACAGACAACCCAUUAGUCCAUUACCCAUCUUUCUUCACUCUCAGCCAGCAUGGUUGUACUAGAAAUUUUUUUUUGGCCUUCGGCCAAAGUUCAAGCCCACCCCAUCUUUAAAUCAUGGAUCCGCCACUGCACCUCACCAUAGUGUCCUAUCCUCUUAGGAGAAGGUAGGCACCUAAUGCAAAGGCCUUUAUGAGAGACUAAUAUCGUCUGAUCUUCUUUUCUUAAUCAAAAGAAAUGAAAAUGGCCACAAUGCCUCACUAUUCAUAGAGCCAUACAAUACUCUGGAACAUAUGCAUGGAGACAAAGAAAAAUAACACAAGAACCAUUAUAAUUUCACUUUAUACGGGAAACUUAGCUAAAUCCGAAUCAUGGGCGGAGCCAACCCAGGUGAAAUUUUGAAGCCCAAAAAAUUACCUGAAACAUCGUCGUUUGGGUGUAGGUUAUUUCUCCGUUUACUUCUUCUCAAUCUUAGUCAUAACUCACACCAUUGCGUCCGUAGCCCGUCGUUGUCGCUAGAGCGGUCGCCAUUUCCCAUAGCCCGCGCCGUCGCCCGUAGACCACAUCCCGAGUCAGUCAGUCCCCACUUGGCUACUUCCCCAGGUAUGGCUCAAUCGGAUUGCUUAUAUUCUGAUCGUGGACAUAGCAGGCUUCAAUUCAAAAGCCAUCAUAUUCAUAUGCUUCAAUGUUGCUUUACUUCGUCUAUAACUAGAGUUUCAGCUUUGCUUCGUCUUCAAUGUUGAUAUGUUGAUAUAAAAUAUUAACUUGAUUAGGAUUUGUUGAUAUAGAAUAUUACCUUGAUUAGGAUUUGUUGUUAUGUAAUAUGUAUUAGGAUAUUUAUUACUCAUAUUAGGAUUUGUUAUAUGAUCUUACAUCCUUACGAAUGAAUAUACAUCAACACAAUCGAAAUCUGCAUGGUCAUAUUAGCCUUAACUAGUUCAGUCCAAUUCAUAUUAGUCUUAAACUAGUUCAGUCUAAUUCCUCAUGGGUAUAUGCUGAACUUUAAGAUGUUGAUCUUCUAUAAUAACUGAGUUCGAUACCAGAAAUCUUUGAUGAUUGUCCACAUAUGUUAUCUUAUAAUCCUAUAUUAAUUUGUACUAAUCUCAUAGUCUUAAUUUGAAAGCUCCUUAUACGUCUUAACUUGGAUAUGGAUGUGGAUUUGAUCUUAUUAUAUGUAAUAUUAAAGUGAAGUUGUUGUAUUACACAGAAUGUUUGAUGAAUAAAUAACAAAUUGAUCGCGUCAAAAGGCUAGAUCAAAAAAUUUCUUGCACCAUCGAACAAAUUUUCUUGUGUAUACAAUUUCAUGGUUCCGCCACAUUGGCAACAAAGAGUGAUUGGAAAAGAAGAACACCCAGAAAGAUAAAAACCAUAAAACUUGUUUAAGCGAAAAAAACAAAAGUAUGCCAUUCAUUUCUUCUUGCGGUUUUGUUAGGCCAAAAAUCAAAAUCCCAUGAUACCCAAUCAGUUACACACUCUCCCUCUCAAUCUCUACAGAACUGACUGCUUCCCCUGAAAACUUGCGCAAUAAGGUACCCAUCUCUCUGGCCUUUUCUUUGUAAUGCAUAUAAGUUCCUGUAAAUUUUAAAGCUUUUGGAAUGAUGAUUUUAUGCUUGUGGAUCUCAAGAUGAGUUUGUUUGUUUUUUUCGGGAUUUUUAUAAUGAAUGCAUUGAAAAUGUUGAAAGCUUAUGCCUUUGUUCCUUGGUUCAGUGUUUUGGUUUUGUAUACGAGAGUUGAAAUGUGAUCUCUAGCUUGACUGUUGGUAUUGGUAAAGAGAAAUGUUCUAGAAAACCAUGCUAGUAUUAGUAAGUUAUCUUCUAAAGUUGUUCGAGUACUGUACUAAGCAUAGGAAAUAACGACCUAAGCUACCUUAUUUUCGUUAGUGCUAGCUGCUAUGAGAAACUUACCCAAUUCGUUGUUAAAAAUAGGGAAAAUACCCAAAUACUCAAAAAUUAGAAAGCUAAAACCCAUUCCAAUGAAAUUAUAAUCCUUUAGCUCAUUCCUAUGUUACACCGAUACUCCACCCCACGGACACUCCAACACUCCCGACACACCGAUAUCGAUACGAUACACCAAAAUGUGUGUCCGACACGCCACGUGGCGUGUCAAAAAAAGUUGACUUUUUAGACACGUUACGUCAGCCUGAGACACGCCAAGUCAGUGUGUAUUGAUUGAAAAAAAAAAAUACAGAACUAAAAGUCUAAAACCUAAUCGAAGAGGAAGCCCACUUUAAAGAAGCCGCAUAGAAGAGGAACGAUGUCACCGUUCACUAUCACUGCGAGAACGACGUCGUCUGUCCAUGUCAGUGUGAUUGUUCCUCCGAUGACACCACUCUGCGAGAACGACGAGAACAGCGUCGCCUUUCUCUGUUACAGCGACUCGUCCUCCGUCGGCCUAAACCCUCUCUUUAGUGUAAGGUUAAUCUUAAUCUCAGCUUUGACGUGUUUGGUGAUUGCAGUCUCAUUUGCAGUAACAGAAAAGCAUAUAAGAUUUUAAUCAUUUUAUGAUCAUUCUGAUACCACUUAUAGAUUUUUAAGGCAAUGUGCUAUUGAAGCAUCUGCACUGUGAUGUUAAGUGUCAUGAUAUUGCUCAAUUGCUGAUAGGGUAGGAUGGAGCUAGACAUUUGAGACUUUGCAAAAUUGAGUUUAUACCUACUAGUAUUAGAUCAUCAAUUAGUUGAGAGUUUGUAGGAGGUCAGGUUUUAUACUUGGUGAGAAACAUCGGCUCAUCUGUAUUUGUAAGGAAGAUUUAAUUGAAAGGAGUUGUGUAUGGAUUGCUUAUUUGUUUAUCUUUGCUCUGUUAAUUGUUAAUAUGUUAUGAUAUGCUGCUGUGUCUAUGCUGAUGUGCUUAUGCUACUGUGUGUCUAUGCUACUGUGUCUAUGCUAUUGUCUUAUGUUGUUUUGUUGGAUUAUUAUGAUUAGGAUGAGUUCAAGUGCGACAUCUACUGAACCUAGUGUUGAAUCAACUAAGCCUGAAAAAUUAGAUGCUCCUCUAUCAAGGAUAAAGGAUGAUGCCAAUGCAUGCGUGCCUUGCUCUUAUGUAUUUUGAAUAUCUCAGUUAUGGGGUUUUAGGCAGUUGGUGUUAUUAUAGGGUUAGGAAAGUCGGAUUUUCAUUCAGUUUGAUGAAUGUGUUGAAUUAGAUAAAACUAUUUAGUAAUCAUCCUUUAGAUUAAAUAUUGACUCUCUUUUAUGUUAUUUGUUACAGUUAUGCAAUUGCUUAAAUUUAGAGCAUUAUUUAAGCAAUGUGAUAAAUUUAUUCAUAUUUGAGCAUUUUUUUAUUAAUUAGAAAUAUACAAAUAAGUAAUUAUAUUUGCCGUGUCUAAGCCGUGUCGAAAAUGUAGUCUUUGAGUUUUGCCGUGUCGCCGUGUCAGUACGUAUCGUGUCGCCGUAUCCGUGUCCGUGUCCAUGUAACAUAGGCUCAUUCCAAUGAUUCUUAUGCAAAAGACAUUAUUANNNNNNNNNNNNNNNNNNNNCUCUCUCUCUCUCUCUCUCUCUCUCUCUCUCUCCUCUCUCUCUCUCUCUCUCUCUCUCUCUCUCUCUCUCUCUCUCUCUCUCGGUGUACGACGAUGCAAGGUUGAAGACGCAGCCUCCUACUGAGUCGACGAGACCGCGCUCGUGGUCGUGAUUCUCCUCAACAGCGACAUCGAUUUUGGCGGCACCUCUCGGAGAUGAUCCUCAUCUGCCAGAACCUCUGCAACAAUCUCUAGAGCCCUAACGAGCACAUCCGGGGCGUCACGCUCCAGUUCCUCUACUGGUUGAGCAAGUUGGAGAUUGUCCGGCCGUUGAUUUCAUCGAUUUUGGCCAAUCUAGUCAGAGAUUGAGGUCUGUGUUUAGUGCAAACAUGGAUAACGUUCUUCUUCUCCUUUUUUUAUCGGAGAUCGUGUUUUUGUUUUUGUUUUGGUCAGAGAGAUUGUGGUUUUUUCCCCUUUUUUUUUCAAUAUAAUGGUUAUUAAAUGAUAGUAUCUUGAUUAUUGGAGUAAUUAGUCUAUUAUUGGGAGGUAAGAAGUAUCUAGUGGAGGUCAAUAAACAUUUAUUGACCCCAAUAUUGCUUUUAUAAAUUUUUUUUGAGAUGUAGGGAUUUGCCUUAGAGGUAAAAACUUCCUUUUUAACUCGAUUACUAGGAAUCAUUAACUGAUUAUUGAGGUUAAGUAACUGAUUAUUGAGGGUCAGUAAGUGAUUAUUGGGGUUCAGUAACUGAUUAUUGGGGGUUAAUAACUGAUUAUUGGGGGUCAUUUUGAGAGUCAGUAACCGAGUUAUUGGUGAUCAGAAUCCAGCAACCGGAAAAAAUCUGAGUUACUGGGGGUCAGUAACUAAGUUACCGGUUAUCGGAAUCAGGCGACCGGAGAAAAUAUGAGUUACUAGGAGUCAAUAACGGCGACCGAAGAAAUUUCUGGCAACCGGGGACCGGAAUCCGGCGACCGGCAACCAGAGUCCGGCGGCGGGUGACCGGAGUCCGGUGAGAUUCCGGCCAAGUAUUCUCUCUCUUCCACUUUCUCUCUCUAUACAUGUUGAAGUGGUGAGAGUAAAAUUGUCUUAAAAAUAUAUAAAAAUUAUUUUUUAUUAUAACAUUAGUAAAGAUUUGUGCAUAAAAAAUGUUACCUUAUAUUGGAAUGAGCUCAUGAAAAAGAUUAACAUUAAAAUGGGGAAUAAGAGGUUUAAAUUAGUAUUAAAUUGACAUUUUCCCUUUAAAAUAAUAACAGAACCAUCAAUGCCGUGAUAGUCCCUUAAUAUUUGGUGGCUAAUUAGUAAUGCAUUCAUGGUAGUUGUGCUUAUUUUGUGCAUGUAUUCUAAUUCUAUCACUUGCAAAAUCGUUGUGGAAGGUUAAGAGGAGAAAACAGAAAAUGGGGCAGCAUGCAUCUCAUUUUAUUUCCGAUCAUAUUUUCAUAUCAUAGACGUUCACUAUUUAGAUAUACAUGAGUUGAUCAUCUCUACAAAAUUUCAACUAAUUUAGUUAUCAUUAAGGUAUCGAAAAUGUAUUAAAUCAAUGAACGAACCGAAUCUGUUCAUCCUGAACUGUACGUUCUAUUAGUUCUAAAUCACAGUUUUGAAUGUCUUAAUGAUUAUCAACUUGGCUGAAAAUUUAUAUAGAUGAUCUACUGAUAUAUAUACCUAAAAUAUGAACGGUUGAGAUGAGAAAAUAUGAUCGAAAGUGGGACAAAUAAUGAAAUCCGUACCUUAGAUAAGGUAAGGAGGUCCUUACCUGAUCAAGAUUGUGUGUGUGUGUCUAUAGAGUUUAGGGUUUAGAGUUUUAGGGUGUCAUGAAGAUAUCAUACAUCCUAAUCUCUCUGAAGCAGCAUUGCUUUUCCCACCGAGAGAUGACUUGCCUGAAAAGUAUGCCGGUCAGAUGGAAGGGUUAUGGUUUGCCGGAAAGAAUGUUGCUACAAGGAGAUUUGUAUUUGGUGCGAAAGCCAUAUCUUCAAUUCAAGAUGAAGCGAAGAGCGAGU
This 42903-nucleotide long non-coding RNA is filed under the name Fragaria vesca (wild strawberry). Lineage: Eukaryota; Viridiplantae; Streptophyta; Magnoliopsida; Rosales; Rosaceae. The record is from RNAcentral.